RNAcentral lists this transfer RNA (72 nucleotides) under Camelus bactrianus (Bactrian camel). It matches the Rfam family "tRNA". From Rfam's summary of the family: Transfer RNA (tRNA) molecules are approximately 80 nucleotides in length. Their secondary structure includes four short double-helical elements and three loops (D, anti-codon, and T loops). Lineage: Eukaryota; Metazoa; Chordata; Mammalia; Artiodactyla; Camelidae. RNAcentral also lists the same sequence under 1 other name. The record is from Rfam by way of RNAcentral.
GAGGGUAUAACUCAGUGGUAAAGUGCAUGCUUAGCAAGCACAAGGUCCUGGGUUCAGUCCCCAGUACUGCUA